CGUGGGGGGCCUCGCAGGGGGCCGCGCUGCGGGCGCAGGGGCGCCCCUGUAGCCGCCAUUCUAGGGGAGGGGGCGGCAGCGCGGCGAGCGCUGCGGCCAGCCUAAAGCCGUCAGGUUGGAGUUAGACGAUCCACCUCGUGUGCAUGGCCGUGGGCGCUCUAGGUCGUCCGUCGCCUCUCGCCCACGGCCCACACCAGUUCGACCGGCACCACUCAGGUUGUCGUCACCUCUCGCAGUUCGCUGGUGCUCGGGCGCACUCCACUCCAGUCCGGUCGCCCGACGCCACUUGCCCACUCUAGUUCGGUCUGGCCGCCUCUCGCCCACUCCACACUCCCGUCCGACCGCCUGACGCUGUUCGCGUGUGUUUUACGCGCCGAUCCGCGCCGGUCAUCGAUGUCGUAUGCUGCUCCUCUGGUAGUUUUGUCCACUGCUCCUUUGCCGGUGUCGUUCACUGACAUCAUCCGAUCUCCUCUGUAGUCUGCACACGCUGCCUGCAGGCUCUUGUCUUGGCCUGGGAAAUCUGGUGCUAUGCCAUCCUAUUUUUUGGGGAGCAAGCAGCUGGCUACGAGAUAAACUUGUCCAGACUUUGAUAUUGCCUUGUGUUUUUCGUGUUAGUACGGGGUAUCUGUUGUGCUUGUUUCGUUGAAAAUAAUGGGAAAAGGUGAUUGCAUUAUGUGCAAAAA
Zea mays is the source of this 683-nucleotide long non-coding RNA. RefSeq lists it as uncharacterized. The transcript has 2 exons. The record is from RefSeq and is a predicted model, not a curated record. Lineage: Eukaryota; Viridiplantae; Streptophyta; Magnoliopsida; Poales; Poaceae.